UACGAAGGGUGCAAGCGUUACUCGGAAUUACUGGGCGUAAAGCGUGCGUAGGUGGUUUGUUAAGUCUGAUGUGAAAGCCCGGGGCUCACCCCCGGAAGUGCAUUGGAAACUGAUGGACUCGAGUCCCGGAGAGGAGAGUGGAAUUCCUGGUGUAGCGGUGAAAUGCGUAGAUAUCAGGAGGAACACCGGAGGCGAAGGCGGCUCUCUGGACGGUGACUGACGCUGAGACGCGAAAGCGUGGGGAGCAAACAGG
This 253-nucleotide ribosomal RNA is filed under the name uncultured bacterium. RNAcentral's name for it is "partial 16S ribosomal RNA". It matches the Rfam family "Bacterial small subunit ribosomal RNA", at positions 524 to 776 of the family's 1533-position model. The record is from RNAcentral.